RNAcentral lists this ribosomal RNA (447 nucleotides) under uncultured bacterium. RNAcentral describes it as "partial 16S ribosomal RNA". It matches the Rfam family "Bacterial small subunit ribosomal RNA", at positions 29 to 523 of the family's 1533-position model. The record is from RNAcentral.
AGCGAACGCUGGCGGCAGGCUUAACACAUGCAUGUCGAACGCCCCGCAAGGGGAGUGGCAGACGGGUGAGUAACACGUGGGAACGUACCCUUUGGUUCGGAAUAACUUGGGGAAACUCAAGCUAAUACCGGAUAAGCCCUUAUGGGGAAAGGUUUACUGCCGAAGGAUCGGCCCGCGUCUGAUCAGCUAGUUGGUGAGGUAAUGGCUCACCAAGGCGACGAUCAGUAGCUGGUGUGAGAGGAUGAUCAGCCACACUGGGACUGAGACACGGCCCAGACUCCUACGGGAGGCAGCAGUGGGGAAUAUUGGACAAUGGGGGCAACCCUGAUCCAGCCAUGCCGCGUGAGUGAUGAAGGCCUUAGGGUUGUAAAGCUCUUUUACCCGGGACGAUAAUGACUGUACCGGGAGAAUAAGCCCCGGCUAACUUCGUGCCAGCCGCCGCGGUAA